CGACGGGAACUCCAUCUGUCACCCCAUUGAUCGCCAGGGUUGAUUCGGCUGAUCUGGCUGGCUAGGCGGGUGUCCCCUUCCUCCCUCACCGCUCCAUGUGCGUCCCUCCCGAAGCUGCGCGCUCAGUCGAAGAGGACGACCAUCCCCGAUAGAGGAGGACCGUUCUUCGGUCAAGGGUAUACGAGUAGCUGCGCUCCCCUGCUAGAACCUCCAAACAAGCUCUCAAGGUCCUGUUGGCUCUUAAAGAAAAUUCAAAACAGAUGCGGUGAUGGUUUGGAUGGAAAAUUCAAUCUGUUUUU
Molecule: unclassified non-coding RNA, 299 nt
Gene: 7SK
Rfam family: 7SK RNA
About the family: 7SK was discovered as an abundant small nuclear RNA in the mid-70s but a possible function has only recently been suggested.
Source: Ensembl